GACGAACGCUGGCGGCGUGCUUAACACAUGCAAGUCGAGCGGAGCGGCGACCGGGUGAGUAACGCGUGAGUAACUGCCCCCCUCUCUGGGAUAACAGUUGGACACGGCUGUUAAUACCGGAUAGUGGGGGAUGACUCGCGUCCUAUCAGCUUGGUGGUGGGGGCUGGGCCUACCAAGGCGGUGACGGGUAGCCGGCCUGAGAGGGUGACCGGCCACAUUGGGCGUAGAUACGGCCCAGACUACUACGGGGUGCAGCAGUGGGGGAUAGUGCACAAUGGGCGAAAGCCUGAUGCAGCGACGCCGCGUGGGGGAUGAAGGCUUUCGGUUUGUAAACCUCUUUCGCUAUCGAAAGGGUAGGUGGAGAAGAAGCGCCGGCUAACUACGGGCCAGCAGCCGCGGUAAUAC
RNAcentral lists this ribosomal RNA (405 nucleotides) under uncultured bacterium. Its description in RNAcentral is "partial 16S ribosomal RNA". It matches the Rfam family "Bacterial small subunit ribosomal RNA", at positions 28 to 526 of the family's 1533-position model. The record is from RNAcentral.